AGCCCGUGACGUGCGGUGUAGUUGGGGAAACGCACCGCGGUUCCCCGUCGGGUCAGGAGAUCCCAAGCCCCAGGCUGGCGUGGGCGAAGCGUACAAUCCCUUCACCUUUCGUCACCCAGAGGCACAAGAAUCCAGUUCGCGCCAACUGACCUGUUUCUUCCUUCCUCCCCGGCACUCUGGGAGUCCUAAGAUUGCCUUGCUCGGUUCGUCUCAGACUUGCUAGAUCUGAGCAGCUGCUGCUCACUCCACCAAGGGUGCUCACAUUCUCCAGGAAACUCCCUUAAGGGUUAGCAACCGCCGAGUAGGUUUCGGUCCCAAGAUAGAAAGGCUACAAGUGCAAAAAGCUGAAUGAAAAAUGGAAAGGUUACUGCUGAAAUAUUUACAGAUGGAAGGAUAUGAUGUCUAGAAUUUGUUUCAAACAAGACGAGGUCUUACUACCAUAGCCCAGGCUGGGCUCAACUGAUCCUCCUGCCUCAGCCUCCCAAAGUGCUGGGAUUACAGGUGUGAGCCACCAUGCCCGCCAUCAAGCAUUUACUUAUUGAAACACAUAUCAU
This 554-nucleotide small RNA is filed under the name Pan troglodytes (chimpanzee). Its description in RNAcentral is "processed transcript". Lineage: Eukaryota; Metazoa; Chordata; Mammalia; Primates; Hominidae. The record is from RNAcentral.